Molecule: long non-coding RNA, 2059 nt
Organism: Pezoporus occidentalis (night parrot)
Lineage: Eukaryota; Metazoa; Chordata; Aves; Psittaciformes; Psittacidae
Exons: 3
Source: RefSeq, a predicted model, not a curated record
UGCUGUCAGACUUGGCGGGCUCUGUCAAUUAAGGGAACACAGAGCAAUCUGUGAGCGCUGAAAGGGAUCCCUUCAGAGCCCUCCGUGGCUGAGAGACAGGCCCAUUGUCUGCAUGCAUGUCUCACAUAGUUUCAGAGGCCUGAUAAGCAGGCAUGCCAUGAAAAACUGCAUUAUAUGGGUCUGGUUCUGCAAAGGAAGCCUCUGGCUUGCCUUCUGGGGAGUGUUCAAGAGCCAUUUUGAUGAAUUCCAAUUAAGAGUCUUCCUGACACCAGGGGAUGUAGAGGUCAAAGAAUGCAUUUAGCAGCUCAGCAACAGACCACAUGGAGGACAGAUAAAGCUGGCAAAGCAGCCUCAUAAGGAGUCCGUGUGACCAGCCCAAGAUCAACCAGAAAGUUAGUGGUAAGAGAAAUCCGUUCUCCUCAUACGCCAUUCUUUGCCCUAAACUACAGUCCUGCCCACAGCCACCAAAUUUGCCACAUGAGCAGUAGCACUUCAAUGUACAAGUAUAUUUCAUUGGUCAUUACAACCUGAAUCAGUGUGUGUGUGUGUCUUCCCACAUGUGUUUUUAAAAAGCACAUCAUUAUCGGAGACUUUAACUAGGAAUCAUUAGCUGAUUGUUAUAUAAUGAAAGAAAAACAUCUCCCCAAACCAAGCACUUAACACCAGAAAUUUAAUGUAUAUCCAAUACCUAAGUGAAGAUUGAAAAACACCUAACGGCUUGACUGAGAUAAUAUAUCCACUAAACUCUAUUCUCUGUUGUGGGGUAUUAAUUAGGGUUACUCUCAGGAACUCAGAGUCCAAAGUGUAUUAAUUCAGCUGACUGGCUUCCGUAGUACUUUGGCUUUGACAUUCCUUGGAUAAGGACAAACCGGGGCUCUCCAGGACGGAACCCAGCCACAGGAGAGCUGAGAUAGAAGGACAAAUUGGGGUGGAGGGGGUGGGGGGAGUUUGCCCUUCUGUAAAGAAUUCAUUAAUUUAAAAGAAGCAGGAAAUAACGCUUAAACUACAAUUGCAUCACUUGCUGCAUAACCGUGAGCGCAUGUCAUGAUGUGUUCCAUCCUGUUCCCACUAAAGUACACCACCUAAUUCAAAAGAUUUUUGUGGGGUGAUUAUUAUCUCAGGAAACCUGUGUUCUUAGACUAACUGUACAUGCUGCAAAACAAAGGGAAAAUUCUCACUAACUUCUGCCUCCUAGUUCAUACUUGGGAGACUGCCACAAGGCUCACAGCAGUGCCUAAGUCCAGUUGAAAUAUUCUAACCCAAAGUGACCAAAGAUAACUCAUUUACUAUAUUCAUAUGACAAAUGGAAAGGUUUGGCAGGGUGCUCAAGAAGAAAGAUGCUCAAGUGAUUUAAAGUAAGCGUGAAUUGCUUACCAGGGAAUUAAGUGCUUGUCACUUGCAUGCUUCUCAAUUGCAUGCGCUAUGUAUAUGUGUGUUUACAUAGUGCAUGUAUGUGUGUAUACAUGUGUGUACCUACACACACACAACAGGCUUAUACUGUAUCGUAUCAAAUGUAUGAAGUGGGAACAGGAAAGCUCCCAGUGCAGAGAUAACUCUUCUCUCUUGAUCCUGUCAGUUCUGGUGUGCUUUGCUUAUUAAGUAGUAUACUCUCUAGACUUUUUUGCCAUAAUUAAGGAAAAUUACUGCAUAGCAGUCUUAAAUUUUUUUUCCUGACUCUUGACAGGGUAGUUAAGUCAUGGUUUUCACUAGAGUUUGCAUCUAGCCUUUAUCUGCCUGAGUUUGGUAUGAGCAAGUGUUUGAUAAAUCUCAGUACUGAAUUACAUGCAGUCCCAAAUGCUUCCUGAUAUUCUCAGUGCAAUACUGGCAGAUAAGUGCAACACAGGCACACAGAAUUUAUAUAUCACAAAAAUAAUUAAUAGAAAAUAGAUUUUUUAAAUGUUUUAGGGAGACUCUAAAAGUGGAAUUGAAAAUGCGCUGUUUUGCAGGCACUGUCCCGAAAGCCUUUAGUAAUGUUAGAUGGAUCCCCAGAAAGAAAAUAAAAUGUAAUUAAUACACUUUCAGAAAAUCUUAGCAUAACCAAAAGUAUUUUGUUAGUGUG